This 257-nucleotide ribosomal RNA is filed under the name uncultured bacterium. RNAcentral's name for it is "partial 16S ribosomal RNA". It matches the Rfam family "Bacterial small subunit ribosomal RNA", at positions 524 to 776 of the family's 1533-position model. The record is from RNAcentral.
UACGGAGGGUGCAAGCGUUAAUCGGAAUUACUGGGCGUAAAGGGUGCGUAGGCGGUUGUUUAAGUCUGUUGUGAAAUCCCCGGGCUCAACCUGGGAAUGGCAAUGGAUACUGGACAGCUAGAGUGUGUCAGAGGAUGGUGGAAUUCCCGGUGUAGCGGUGAAAAUGCGUAGAGAUCGGGAGGAACAUCAGUGGCGAAGGCGGCCAUCUGGGGACAACACUGACGCUGAAGCACGAAAAGCGUGGGGGAGCAAAACAG